Molecule: non-coding RNA, 23 nt
Filed under: Mus musculus (house mouse)
Lineage: Eukaryota; Metazoa; Chordata; Mammalia; Rodentia; Muridae
Source: RNAcentral
UGGUGUAUAGACAUAUAUGCAGG